This 274-nucleotide ribosomal RNA is filed under the name uncultured bacterium. RNAcentral's name for it is "partial 16S ribosomal RNA". It matches the Rfam family "Bacterial small subunit ribosomal RNA", at positions 524 to 796 of the family's 1533-position model. The record is from RNAcentral.
CACGUAGGGGGCGAGCGUUGUCCGGAUUUAUUGGGCGUAAAGAGCUCGUAGGUGGUUCGGUAAGUCGGGUGUGAAAACUCUGGGCUCAACUCAGAGACGCCACCCGAUACUGCUGUGACUUGAGUCUGGUAGGGGAGUGUGGAAUUCCCGGUGUAGCGGUGAAAUGCGCAGAUAUCGGGAGGAACACCAGUGGCGAAGGCGGCACUCUGGGCCAGAACUGACACUGAGGAGCGAAAGCGUGGGUAGCGAACAGGAUUAGAAACCCCUGUAGUCC